Molecule: transfer RNA, 73 nt
Filed under: Mustela putorius furo (domestic ferret)
Lineage: Eukaryota; Metazoa; Chordata; Mammalia; Carnivora; Mustelidae
Rfam family: tRNA
About the family: Transfer RNA (tRNA) molecules are approximately 80 nucleotides in length. Their secondary structure includes four short double-helical elements and three loops (D, anti-codon, and T loops). Further hydrogen bonds mediate the characteristic L-shaped molecular structure. tRNAs have two regions of fundamental functional importance: the anti-codon, which is responsible for specific mRNA codon recognition, and the 3' end, to which the tRNAs corresponding amino acid is attached (by aminoacyl-tRNA synthetases). tRNAs cope with the degeneracy of the genetic code in two manners: having more than one tRNA (with a specific anti-codon) for a particular amino acid; and 'wobble' base-pairing, i.e. permitting non-standard base-pairing at the 3rd anti-codon position.
Source: Rfam by way of RNAcentral
ACCAGGCUGGCUCAGCAGGUGGAGUGUGAGACUCCUGAUCUUGGUGCGGUGGGUUCAAGCCCCAUGAUGGGUG